RNAcentral lists this small nuclear RNA (158 nucleotides) under Notamacropus eugenii (tammar wallaby). RNAcentral describes it as "U1 spliceosomal RNA (ENSMEUG00000017269.1)". It matches the Rfam family "U1 spliceosomal RNA". Rfam says of the family: U1 is a small nuclear RNA (snRNA) component of the spliceosome (involved in pre-mRNA splicing). Its 5' end forms complementary base pairs with the 5' splice junction, thus defining the 5' donor site of an intron. Lineage: Eukaryota; Metazoa; Chordata; Mammalia; Diprotodontia; Macropodidae. The record is from RNAcentral.
AGACUAACUCCAGAUUCCAUGAUCACAAAUGUGUGUUUCCCAGGCCAAGGCUUAUCCAUUGCAUGUUGGAUGAGUUGAACCUUGUGAUUUCCCCAAGUAUAGAAAACUCAACUGCAUAAUUUGUGGUCAUAGAUACACAGAUAUACAGCUAAUAUCUG